Molecule: ribosomal RNA, 153 nt
Filed under: Trebouxia jamesii
Lineage: Eukaryota; Viridiplantae; Chlorophyta; Trebouxiophyceae; Trebouxiales; Trebouxiaceae
Description: 5.8S ribosomal RNA
Rfam family: 5.8S ribosomal RNA
About the family: 5.8S ribosomal RNA (5.8S rRNA) is a component of the large subunit of the eukaryotic ribosome. It is transcribed by RNA polymerase I as part of the 45S precursor that also contains 18S and 28S rRNA.
Source: RNAcentral
CAACUCUCAACAACGGAUAUCUUGGCUCCCGUAACGAUGAAGAACGCAGCGAAAUGCGAUACGUAUGUGAAUUGCAGAAUUCCGUGAACCAUCGAAUCUUUGAACGCAAAUUGCGCUCGAGGCCUCGGCCUAGAGCAUGUCUGCCUCAGCGUC